This 300-nucleotide ribosomal RNA is filed under the name uncultured Pseudofulvimonas sp. RNAcentral's name for it is "bacterial SSU rRNA". It matches the Rfam family "Bacterial small subunit ribosomal RNA", at positions 496 to 795 of the family's 1533-position model. Lineage: Bacteria; Pseudomonadati; Pseudomonadota; Gammaproteobacteria; Lysobacterales; Rhodanobacteraceae. The record is from RNAcentral.
GCUAAGUGGGGCGCAGGAGCCGCGGUAGUACGUAGUGGGGAUAGGGUGCUGGGAAUCACUGGGCGGAAAGCGGACGUAUGCGGCGUGUGAAGUCAGGGGUGAAAUCCUGGGGCUAAACGCCAGAACUGCCUUUGAUACUGAGGAGCUUGAGUCCGGGAGAUGUGAGUGGAACUGCGAGUGUAGAGGUGAAAUUCGUAGAUAUUCGCAAGAACACCAGUGGCGAAGGCGGCUCACUGGCCCGGUACUGACGCUGAGGUGCGAAAGCGUGGGGAGCAAACAGGAUUAGAUACCCGAGUAGUC